Molecule: long non-coding RNA, 8232 nt
Organism: Gallus gallus (chicken)
Lineage: Eukaryota; Metazoa; Chordata; Aves; Galliformes; Phasianidae
Exons: 4
Source: RefSeq, a predicted model, not a curated record
CUCCGGGCCGGCGCUCGCCCCGCCGCCGCUAUCCCCGCGCAGCGGCGCCCGCCGCAUGGCCCAGCCCCGGCGCGGGGCGGCACCCUGCCGCGCCCCGGAGAGGUGUCUCCGAGAAUAAACUUCUCCCCGCCCACCCCCGCCGCUCUAUUCUUCCUUCUCGCUUCCUCGGUCGCUCGCUCUGCUCCCGGUGGCGCCCGCUCAGCGUCCCGGCUGCUGGCAGCUGGGCCCGCAGGCCCGGCCGUGCCCCGCUGCCCCGAGGCGGGAGGCGCGGAGGGAGGGAAGAGGCCGCCCCCGCCCCUGGCGAGCAGAUGGCGGCCGGGUGCCGUCUGGGCAGCGGCGUGCGAGGGGGCCGCGAGGUGACGGAGGGGCCUUGAGCCGCCGGGGAAAGUUAAAGCUUCUCACUGCCGCCUCCGCAGAGCUGCGCGGGGCGGGAGGGGCCGGGAGGAGAGGCGACCGCCGGAGACCCCGCGUUCCCCCUGCGGGCAGCGCGAGGCUUCGCCGCCGCUUUUCUGCGCGGCCCGCGGCUGCCCCGCGCCGCGGCGCGGUGAUGGGGCGUGGCGGCGUUGUGGAAGGGCUGCGGCUGCCCUCGGGGUGCAGCUCCUUCCCGAGGGCUGUCACCGCCCGUCCUGGCAGUUCUCGUGGGAAGGAAACAAAGCAGGGGCUACGGAUGGAGACUUUGGGCUGCAGGCAGAUGAGCCUUGAGGAGUUUAAAAGCAGGCAGUGGAGUUAUGGAGACAUGGAGUGCUCUGCAGACUUCAGGUAUGUCCAGAAGCACUUAGGCAAAGUUGCAGACAAGGAGUUUCCAAAGGUGGCUCCUGUGCGGUGGUAGUACACACAGAAAUAAAAUACCCGUGGAUUCUGUCAUGGACAGGCAGUCCUGAUGUGGCCAGGCCUGACCCUUCAGGACAAACUGGAGUGAGCAGUGGGAUCAUCUGCUCUGGAGUGGCUUAAGCCAGCUACACAAUAAUUUGGCUUGAUUUGAGCUCUAGUGCUACGUGGAUCUGGCCUUUGAAGGGAAGUGGCACGCUUAUUGUGUUAAUGCUGACAUCCUUGCCCAUGUUUAUAUUUAAAUCUCAAUAAAACAUUGCCUAAGCAUUGCAGCUAAUCACUUCCACACCUCUAUCACGUCUUCAACGUGUUAGUAGUAAGUGUUCACAUACCCUUUGCAAUUCAUCUUUCAGAUCAUUAAGCACCAUUCUCUCCCCUGCUACUGGACCAAGGGCAGCAGGAUUCUUCUUACUGUUUUCAUGUGUUGUUCUAUGUAAUUUUAUUAUGUCUCUUCCUUUUGCCCUGCCAGUAGAACCUCUCCUCAGUGCUGAUCCUGAUCCAAAUCACCCAAAACAGGAGAAAAAUAAUCUGAAAGCCAAUUUAACUCCAAGCUGGACGCUUAAAUUACAUCCUUUGAAUAAGAUGCUCUGACACAGAAGAGCAAUCGUCUUCAUAAUCCCUCCUAACUCUGAUUUCCAUCUCAGCUAUUGAUGCUUACGUCUUUCUUUCUGGCUGUUCUGGUCCAUCUGUUAGUUUGGGGACUGGCAGAUUUGCAAGACAGUGGGCCACUUUCCCGUGGGACACAGGACACUAACAGGAGAUCAGCUGUGGACCUUGCCUAGUUGCACAGAACACAGUAUUUCUGCAGCUGGUGAGGGUGGAGAGUGUGGUCAAGUUCCCUUGUGCCCCAAGUGAGGCUCUGCAGGUUAGUGUCUCAGGUCAGGCCAGUCCCCAUCUCUCUGGUGUGGGAGCUGGGCAUGCAAACCGUGCCCAAAAUGUGGCAGGGAUUAAGAACGUGAAGUUACUUGCUUUCUCCUCUAUGGAGGCUGAAGGACAGAGAUCCCUCUUGCCUCCAUUCCUGGGAUGGGAAAUACUGCCCAGAUAUUUCUGACCGGAAGAGUGCAAGAUGGGGACUGGAUUUCCAUGUAUAUACCAUCCUUUUCCUUCUGUGCUAGAUGCUGCAGCCAGAGGAUGUGCCUAUCUGUGGAGCGGCAGGUAGAGAAUUCCUGAUUCUCUGCAAUUGCCUGUGAAGGUAGAGAAACCCUGGUUUCCCUCUGGAGAUUGCUCUCCCUUGUUGGUGCAUUCAGCCUGCUCAGGUCAAGGCUGCCUGUCCACGGCAGGAUCACUGGCUAGGGAUGGACUCGUGUUCCCAGCUGGCUUGAGCAUGGCUGACUCAGAGCUGCGCAUACUCUGGAUCCCUGAGUUAGGGUUGGCCUCCAGGACAACCAGGAUUGAGCUGGUUGAGAAAUCUGAUUUCUACCCUCCCACACCCCCUGCUCUUCUUUAGGGAUUGCCAAAGGAUUGUGCGUUAUUACAUGAUGGUAAUCUUCUUUGAAGAUGUUCGUGGCAGCUCAAGUCUCCGGACUCAAUUCCGCACUGAUUUACGGAGCCUGCAAUCCCAUGGCAAGGAGGGUGAUUGCACAGGAACAGACCCUGCCUGGCUCUGUGACACCACAUUUGAGGUGACUUACAGGACGGAGGAGAUUAUUACAGAAAUUCCUGUCUUCUUUCCCGAAAGGGUCCCUGCAGACUUCCCAUCAAUUUCAAGAGCAGCAAGCACUGGAGGUGUGGAACAGUGCUGUUAUAUGUGUAUUCAUAGAUGGUGCUUCAAAAUGCUUGGCUAUCCGUGCUGUAAUUCUGUGAACUCUAAAUUAGUGCAUGAAGAGCAUAUUCAGGUCUUGUCAGGGGGGAACGCUACAGACAUUGAAAAUGUAUUAGAAUAAAGCUGACUGAGAGCACAUAUGCUGUUGGAAGAGGCAGAGUUGUAUAAAAAAUGCAAUGCAGUUGGGUACUGCAGCUGUACAAUACGGGAGCAGAGUUUGUGAACCAUACCUCAAUGUACAGUUAGAUAAUCUACUCCAUCAGGGAACUGGAAAUCCUGAAUUAUGUAUGAUAAAGCAGAGAUGUGUUUAUACAGAGAGCAGUUCCUGCAAUACUUGAUGCACUCAGUGCAAAAAAAAAAAGGAAUAACACGAGCAAGCUGGAUUCAGCCUGCUUGAGGACUUCGUUAUUGCAUUUCAUUUACACAGCCUGAUGAGCUGUGCGGUAUUUCAUUUCUUGUGCUGCUAAUAAAAAUAGACUGUAUGUAACUGAUGGCUGGAAUAUCACCGAGCCCUGAGAGCACAUAAUGAAAUGCAGCCUCAGACAACAAAAACCUACACUGAUUUUCUGUAGGCUGAAAAGAAGACAGAAAUAAUUCAUCGUGCUUUACAAUUGCAGUCAGUCAGUCAUUUAACUGUUGGGCAGUAAGUCUCUAAAUGAAAGACCAAGCAUUAAUUGAAACAACGAAACGUUUGAUUGUGAUUGGAAAAAAAACAAUAAGAAGCUGCAUUCAAUGAGCUUGUUCAAAUGUUUGUCACUGAUAAGACGCACGUUUCUAUAGAAUCAAAUCUAUUUGCUCGGGAAUUAGAUUAUUUUAGUAAAUGUAGUUGCUUAUCUGAGGUAUAAAACCAGUGAAGCUUUUUUUCUCGCUCCCAAUCAGUGCAGCACUUAAUGCUGCUCUGUGCUCAUAAACUCCUGAGACACGGAGACAAAAUCUGGGAUAAUGGGGUUUGUCACUGGCUGUGGAAGAGCUGGGAAUUCACCCUGUCUGACCUGAAAGUGAGUGGCUUUAAAGCAUUCAGCUGGAUCUCUACAGCUAUGAAAUGAGGCUCUGCGUGCUGUCUGAACUUCAGUAGUCCAGGAAAGGCAUUUCCCUCAUCUGAGCUUCUACGUGAAAGCUGUCACUAAUCUUCCAUUUCCAGGAGCAGUACUCUGACCACUGACAUAGGAGCAUUGCUUGUGAGGUCCUGUGCAUGCCAUCUCUUCUGGAAGAGAAGCCCUAGGGGUUUAAUGUGCACCUCCUUGGAUUACUGUUUUUGUUUGUUGACAAAUUGCUGGGUUUCUUUCAGACACAAUGAUCCAUGUGCCCAUUUUGUUAGCUUUACACACCUAAAUUUAGGCAAAUAAAGGCACAUGCCUAUUCUAAACAUGUCAUUUAACCUCCUUCAGAAGACAACCAGGAGACGUGGGCAUGUCCUUAGUGGUGAUUACUGCGCCUCACUUAUUUUAGAUACUUAUUUUAGGAUGGGUUUUGUUCCAUUUUUCCUUACUGUCCUAACUGGGAGUCAUACCAGACAGGAGGGACAUCCUCUUUUGAAAACCCGACUGUAACAUGCUGAAUGUUAACAACAGUCUAUUAGAAAUAUGGGUAUUAAUUUUAAUGCCUCGCUCCCAAUUAAAAUGCGCGGAUACGCAUCUGCAGAUUGUUUGUUCAUUUACUAUUUGUAGUCAUGUUGGAAAGGAAUCCUCUUGGCCUGCUGUUUGAAGGAGAGUUCAGGAAAAAAUGCGAUUAGGUAACUUUCUAUAUGUGUGUUGUGUACAGCCAAACAUGCCGUGUUCAAAUUCAUGUGACAGCUUUGUCAGCACGGAAUGCAUAGAUCUUCCGAAUCCAGUGGGGAAUUGUUGAUAUCACAGAAGAAAAUAUCUUCCAGGUAAAGUCACUGGCUUGAAAUGAAAGAGAGCCCCCUGUCUCAAUAAGGUAAGGUAAGAUUCCAGCCCUGGAGGACUGGUCGUGUCUGGCAUGUGAAAAAUCGUUUUAUUUCUUGUAAAACAAAAAGACAAGUACCACAGCCAAAGCUCCUGACAUUAGUUUAGUUGCUACUUUGUUUGAAGAAAUUCAUGAGACUUAAAGCAGUAAUUGGUAUGUCAAUAUUUAGUCCUCCGGCUUUAGCAUCAUGAAAUGCAGUUUAAUGUUUCCUUGUUAAUUUCUUCAUUUUGAGCGGUGCUAAUAGGACUAAUGACAUAACUGAUAUAUGGAAAGUUAUGAGGCUAAUUUGUGCCUUUUACUGUUAUUAGGAACAUUAUCCUUCUCCCCGUGGUGUUGCUAUUUACUUCCCAACUAGCAAUUACAAAGAGGGAUAAAUUUGGGGUAGUAACUUUCUCAUUUAAUGAGAAGAGACUGAGGCAGCUUUGCUGGUUUAAAGAAGACACAUCUGAGUAAUUACUUUCCCAGGGCAGGCAUGGCAUUAUCUGUAGGGCUACUUUCAUCCUGUUGGUAGCCUUUGAAGCCCCCGUAUUCCACAUCUUCUCACAAUAAUGAUCUGAAUGCCCAAUCUGUAAGCCUCGCACACCUAAAUUUAGGCAGCUGCAUGUGCCUUACACCUGCCAGCUUACCAACACCAGCAUUAUUCUGGAUCUUUAUCUCACUCCUUAAACUUAACAGCUGUAUUGUGCAGAAUAGUGUUAGGAACUUUUAUGGUUUGGCUUUUCUUUCCAAGCCUGGUGGGAGAACACCGGUGUGCUUGAGAGAGCUCUUCCAAGUGAGCCUGAGGGGCCAAUUCAAGUCUCUGAUGAGCAGAUAAUUGCAACUCUGAUAAUUAGCUUUUGGUUUUAAAUUUUCCGUUUCUUUAUUGUUUAUGUUUGUUCAAUCAGUUCUCAGCUAAAAAUGAAGUACUUCUGCCACUUCAUUACUGCUGACCUUCUCAUGCUAAUGACUCUGAAUGGAGAACAUUAAAAGUUGGAGUGAAUUUAACAGAAGAGAAUGUGCUCCAAGGAACAGCAGAGAAUUGAGAACACUGUAUUUUUUAAAAUUAGUCCUAUAUGCUUCAUCAUGCUGUUGCUGUCUGACUUUAAUGAGAAUGCUUACAUGAAUAAGGCUGCUGGAUCGCACCCCCGGCAUUUAAUAGAGGUACUUCUGGCUUUUCUGUUGCAAAAAUAAGAACCAGAAUCAUGGAGGGGGGUGUCGGAUGGCCAGAUCUCCAGGCAAGUGGAGGUUGCAGCUGACCCUCUCUGCACGUUUGGGCCACCAGUUCUCAUCAGCCGGAGAUACAAAGAGGUUUGAAGGUAAAAUACGAUGACCUCAGCUUCACAACUGUGGCUUCAGAGUAAAGCUUUCAAGUUUUCAUCCCAUUGUCCAGGAAGACAUCCUUUACUAAAGGGAAUCGGCAGGGAAUUCAGGGAGUUUGAGUUCGUUUUUGUGUGUGUGUGAGGGGUGCAUUUCUUUGCUCUUUUCUUCGUCUUAGUUUCUUUUUGUUAUUUGUGUUCAGUAGCACAAUGUCACAACAACAGGGUGUGCAAAUAUUACAAAAGGCACAUCUUUUUCUAAGCGAGUAAUGCAUAAAUAUAUUACAUACACACAUGCAACAGGGUGUUUAUAUAUUACUUUGCCUCUGUCAUCUGUUUCUCACGUGCACACACAUAACCGUAAGCUUUAUGGUGACAAUAACUGCUUCAAAAAAUUAUUUCUACCAAAGACGAUCUCUGUCUAACAUCAUCCCCAGUUUUCAGCAGUGCAGAAGACAAAGAUGUACAGAAUGUGUUUCCUGGGGGCCUCCAGUGCAGUUUCCAAUGUAGAACUUCAAAAUAUUUCAGAUGUCAGAGCUCCCUCAAGUGGGAAGAUGAGGAAAGCAAACUGGUGCGAGGAGGAGGUUGCCUACAGACCAACCAAAGCUUCUAAAACUCAAAAAGAAAACAUUUAUAGGAGACAUUUGUUCAUGUUGGGUUGGGCGGCAUGGAUUAUGCAACUGCCAUGGAGAUUUGUUAUAUUCACUUCCUAUCAAUACCAUUCUCUGAGAUCCAAUAGCUGAAGCAAAUAUAACACAAAAUACAAGCCGUUUGUUUCAAUGUAUGUGAACAGGUGCAGGUUUGCAGUCCUAAAACAGAUUUGCAGUAUCUUUGUAUACCUACAGGAGCUGCUGCCUCUUUUUGCAGGCUUCCAGGUAUGACAGUGAAUGAAGACGUGCCCACAUGGGUAACAAAGUGUAACCCAGGCUAAGUAGCACAUACACAAUUAUUCAGCACAGAUAUUCAGCACAAUUAUUCACGAGGUUUCCAGUAUUUCUAAUUCUGGUUGCAGUUCUUUCAGUGGCUUUCAUAUCCCAGAAAUCUUUGUUGUUUCUGGGGAAAGGAUACAUUGUGACAUGCAUUUUAUAAAUAUCUUAAAUUGCUUUUCCUGAAUAUGGUUUCAGCUGUCACGUGUAUUAAUAAUGAUUAGACUGACAAAUUAAUAGCAUUACACUGAUAAAUUCAUACGAGAAGAAAAUUAAUUAAUGGAAUGUAAUGUUCCUUUCUAACCAACUUAUGCUUACAUAGUUGACAAUGUUAAGUAGUGAUUCAAGUUGUAGAUUUAGAAAUGGGCUGGCAGCAGAUGAGCAGUGCUGGUGAACCAAGGAGAAGAGUCAGCGUGAUGGCUGCAGUUUGAUGGUGGCUCAGCCUAUGAGAAUCUGCAUCAGAGGCAAUGGUAUCAGAUACAACAACAGCACUACAUAAAUCAUGUGCAUUGUUAUGCAUUCUCCAGGUACGUAAGAUGUUGCCUGGCAACUGUGUGUGUCCUUGCUCUGCAAAGUAAGUGAUUUUAAUUAUUUCUCUGAUACUGCGUGAUCAUGGAAUUUAGAAAACUGGCUCUGCAUGAUCACUUUUAAAAUGGCAUUAAUUAAAAACUAAAGUUCCUUUCUCCAGUCAUCAAUGUGCCUUGUCUUAAUCAAGCAUCUUGUGCUUCUGAUGUUCCUAAGCAUACAUUACAGUAUUGCAGUUCAAUUGCAAUUAUACAGAAGCAGUUUUCUUUCCCUUGAGUUUUCAGGAUUUAUAGGAUUUAUAAAACAUCCUUCACGGAAUAAAAGGAUGUUUUUUUUUUCUCUGGCAGUUUAUUCGUUCAUCUCUGUGCCCACGGAGACAAGAAAUUGAGGCAUUUUGUUCUCCUGUUUCUUGGACCUCCACUCUGCAUAAGGGAAGCUACAAAUACUCAGGCUGUCUUGUUGCAUGUCAGUCAUUUACAACAUGCUUCAUAUGGAUUACAUGAGCUAAAUACACUCUGAAAAUUAGAGCUGAUAUAUACUAUGUUGCCAGGUUUCUGUAAACUAUAAGUAGCUACUGCACUAUUACUUAGAAAGGCUAAGAAUAGGACAUGUUAGUAAAACACUUUAAAAUCACAGACCUGAUGGACAUUCCAGUCUACGGUCUUCAGUAUGCUGGCCUCUGUUGGAGAGCACACUCAGAGGAGGAACUGAAAAUCUCAUGAAUCUUUACAGGCACAGCUUCAGCAGGAAGGGGUGACACUGCAUUGUCACCAAUUCCCUGUACCACGCUGGCAGGACACCCAGCAGUGUGGAGCCACCCCACUGUUCCAGCCCACUUUGAUGGGGUGAAUUAGAAGUAGCUCUCCUAUUCGUAGAAUCAUAGAUCAUAGAAUGGCCUGGGUUGAAAAGGACCACAAUGAUCAUCGAGUUUCAAUCCCCCUGCUAUGUGCAGGGUUGCCAACCACCAGAC